AGCAGGGUAGUAAAAAGGUAUAACGCAAGUCUCUUUAGCUUGUAUUCCAGGUUCGAUUCCUGGUCCUGCAACCA
RNAcentral lists this transfer RNA (74 nucleotides) under Faecalibacillus intestinalis. RNAcentral describes it as "tRNA-Lys". It matches the Rfam family "tRNA". Rfam says of the family: Transfer RNA (tRNA) molecules are approximately 80 nucleotides in length. Their secondary structure includes four short double-helical elements and three loops (D, anti-codon, and T loops). Further hydrogen bonds mediate the characteristic L-shaped molecular structure. tRNAs have two regions of fundamental functional importance: the anti-codon, which is responsible for specific mRNA codon recognition, and the 3' end, to which the tRNAs corresponding amino acid is attached (by aminoacyl-tRNA synthetases). tRNAs cope with the degeneracy of the genetic code in two manners: having more than one tRNA (with a specific anti-codon) for a particular amino acid; and 'wobble' base-pairing, i.e. permitting non-standard base-pairing at the 3rd anti-codon position. The record is from RNAcentral. Lineage: Bacteria; Bacillati; Bacillota; Erysipelotrichia; Erysipelotrichales; Coprobacillaceae. RNAcentral also lists the same sequence under 6 other names.